GAGAGCUUCAUUCAACUUUAACGAUGGGCACGGGGGGUGGGAAGGGGAGCGGGGAGCCCGGGUUCCCGGCACCACGUGGCACACGCGUGGCAAAGCGCUGCCAGGAGGAGCGGGCACCGGCGGCGGCCACUUGGAUCUGUACGGAUCGAGGCGUGGAUGGGGCACGUGGCCACCAAAAGUGGCCAGAACGUGGCAAUGGCACAGAGCACAGGUAUGGCACGUGGCUAUGGGGACAUGGCCAGAAUGUGGCAAUGGCACAGCGGGGAUGUGGCACGUGGCCACCGAGCGUGGCAACAGCGUGGCGAUGGCACAGAGCAUGGACGUGGCACGUGGCCAUGGGGGCAUGGCAAGGUCCUGGCAAUGGCACAGGGCAUGGAUGUGGCACGUGGCCACUGAGCAUGGCCAGAACAUGGCAAUGGCACCACAUGGAUGUGGCAUGUGGCCACCAAGCAUGGCCAGAAUGUGGCAGUGUCACAGAGCAUGGAGGUGGCACGUGGCCAUGGGGACACGGCAAGGACCUGGCAAUGGCACAGGGCAUGGAUGUGGCACGUGGCCACCGAGCAUGGUGACAGUGUGGGAAUGGCACAGAGCAUGGAUGUGGCGCAUGGCCACCAAGAGUGGCACCAACAUGGCAAUGUCACAGAGCACAGAUGUGGCAUGUGGCCAUGGGGACACAGCAAGAACACAGCAAUGUCACACAGCGUGGAUAUGGCACGUGGCCACAAGCAUGGCACCAACAUGGGAAUGUCACAGANCACAGGUAUGGCACGUGGCUAUGGGGGCAUGGCCAGAACAUGGCAAUGGCACAGAGCACAGGUAUGGCACGUGGCUAUGGGGGCAUGGCCAGAACGUGGCAAUGGCACAGCGGGGAUGUGGCACGUGGCCACCGAGUGUGGCAACAGUGCGGCGAUGGCACAGAGCAUGGAGGUGGCACGUGGCCAUGGGGGCAUGGCAAGGACCUGGCAAUGGCACAGGGCAUGGAUGCGGCACGUGGCCACUGAGCAUGGCCAGAACAUGGCAAUGGCACCACAUGGAUGUGGCACGUGGCCACCAAGCAUGGCCAGAAUGUGGCAGUGUCACAGAGCAUGGAUGUGGCAUGUGGCCAUGGGGACACGGCAAGGACCUGGCAAUGGCAUCCAGGGCAUGGAUGUGGCACAUGGCCACCGAGCAUGGUGACAGUGUGGGAAUGGCACAGAGCAUGGAUGUGGCACGUGGCCAUGGGGACAUGGCAAGAACCUGGCAAUGGCACACAACGUGGAUGUGGCACAUGGCCACCAAGCAUGGCAGCAACACGGCAAUGGCACGAGUGUGUGGAUGUGGCACACAGACACCGAGCGUGGCACCAACACGGCCAUGGCAUGGAGCAUGGAUGUGGCACGUGGCCACCAAGCAUGGCACCAACAUGGCAAUGUCACAGAGCAUGGAUGUGGCACGUGGCCAUGGGGACACAGCAAGAACAUGGCAAUGUCACACAGCAUGGACGUGGCACAUGGCCACCAAGCAUGGCACCAACAUGGCAAUGUCACAGAGCACGGAUGUGGCACGUGGCCAUGGGGACACAGCAAGAACACAGCAAUGUCACACAGCGUGGAUAUGGCACGUGGCCACAAGCAUGGCACCAACACGGCAAUGUCACAGAGCACGGAUGUGGCACGUGGCCAUGGGGACACGGCAAGAACACGGCAAUGUCACACAGCGUGGACGUGGCACAUGGCCACCGAGCAUGGCAACAACACGGCAAUGUCACAGAGCACGGAUGUGGCACGUGGCCAUGGGGACACAGCAAGAACAUGGCAAUGUCACACAGCGUGGACGUGGCACGUGGCCACGAGCACGGCGANNNNNNNNNNNNNNNNNNNNNNNNNNNNNNNNNNNNNNNNNNNNNNNNNNNNNNNN
Long non-coding RNA from Numida meleagris (helmeted guineafowl), 1896 nucleotides. The record is from Ensembl. Lineage: Eukaryota; Metazoa; Chordata; Aves; Galliformes; Numididae.